RNAcentral lists this ribosomal RNA (253 nucleotides) under uncultured bacterium. Its description in RNAcentral is "partial 16S ribosomal RNA". It matches the Rfam family "Bacterial small subunit ribosomal RNA", at positions 524 to 776 of the family's 1533-position model. The record is from RNAcentral.
UACGUAGGGGGCGAGCGUUGUCCGGAUUUAUUGGGCGUAAAGAGCGUGUAGGCGGCCAGGUAGGUCUGCUGUGAAAACUCGAGGCUCAACCUCGAGACGUCGGCGGAAACCAUCUGGCUAGAGUCCGGAAGAGGAGAGUGGAAUUCCUGGUGUAGCGGUGAAAUGCGCAGAUAUCAGGAAGAACCCCCGUGGCGAAGGCGGCUCUCUGGGACGGUACUGACGCUGAGAAGCGAAAGCGUGGGGAGCGAACAGG